ACUUAUAUAAUUUAAAUAGAAUACUACAUUGAAGCUGUAGAAGAGAUAAUUAUCUAUAAGUA
This 62-nucleotide transfer RNA is filed under the name Pontastacus leptodactylus (narrow-clawed crayfish). RNAcentral's name for it is "Astacus leptodactylus (narrow-clawed crayfish) tRNA-Phe". The record is from RNAcentral. Lineage: Eukaryota; Metazoa; Arthropoda; Malacostraca; Decapoda; Astacidae.